Molecule: non-coding RNA, 7592 nt
Organism: Ictidomys tridecemlineatus (thirteen-lined ground squirrel)
Lineage: Eukaryota; Metazoa; Chordata; Mammalia; Rodentia; Sciuridae
Source: RefSeq, a predicted model, not a curated record
CAACCCAAUCAUUUCUCCUCUGAACUUUCUUGGAUUGUCUCACAUGCGCUUUUGGGGGACACUUCACAUGCAAACCAUAACACCCUCCCUUCCAUUUCUGCUCUUGCUGUCCAAUCUUCCCUCUGGAUCCUGCCAUUUGGUUAUGCAGAACUGUGACCUUGUCCUUGGGAGUUACGAGGCUACUUCACACCCUUAAGACUAGGUUUCAUCUUCUACUCAAUCAUUAACCAAGGCAGUUUUUUUUUCCUUAUCAAAAAAUCCUGGGGCUAGCAGUUGUUGAUUUUCAGGAUCAGAAGAGAGUGUGGCAUAAUAGGAGAAUUACCAGGCCUAACAAUAUGAACACUAGGCACUGGAAGGUGUUUAAAGCCAAUAAUUAGAUGUGGGGAUAAAAAUAGAAAUAACAGCAUAACUAUUUUUGUUAAUAUCACCAGACUCUAGAAUCCCCAUUUUAAUGUACACAGUCAACUUAGCUCUAGAUUCUAGAGCUGAGAGUUACAUUGCCUAUCAGCCUAAGAAUUAUUCAUCAGAAAAUGGUUUAUACAUGAUUUAGAAAACUAAAGUUGCAAGAGUCCAGUCUUUACUGAAAUCAUACUCCCACCCACCCCCCAACCCUGCUACCCCUGUUCCUUACACUUGUGAGAUCUGACAAAGAGGACAGGUAUUAUAACUAUGGACUUAUAUGAAUAAGUUUAUGCUAAAUAACUAUACAAGAUUAUCCUAAAAAUAAGUUUAUUUAUCCAAUUAAAUGAAUAUUUUGGCUUGUAUUUAAAGUUGGCAGGACCCCUCCUCCACUGCUGUCAAAUUUCCCAAUCUUAUUUGACAACAUUUGCAACUGUGGUCGACCAGGUGGAAGGAAAGGCAGCCAGUUGCAUGGCACCUUCUGAGACCCCUGGCCUGCUGCAGUCUCUUGGCUUCAUGGCUGGCACACAAACCCAGACGUCUGACUCUCCCGAGGCCUCUCUUUUAACACAUACCUACAAAACUCUUCCUCAGCAGUCUUCCUGUGCCCAUAAUCACCUUUGCUCUUGUCUAACUAUUUGCGUCAUUCAGAAAAUUGGAUGGCCUACUUUUAAUUCCCACUCUCGUUUGGCUCACUUAAGUAGUUUAUACCAUCUAUGGGAAAGCUCUGAAGAAAAACUUUACCCUUGUGCACCUUCAGGAGGGAAGACCAGGAACUAAAAACCUCCCAGGAACAGAAAGAUCAGUAGAUGUAACUCAGUGAUAGAGCACUUGCUUAGCAUGCAUGAAGCUCUGAAUUUCAUCCCUUGCACCAAAACCAAAAGCAAACAAAAAUAAAAAAGGGAAAAACUUCGUAGAGAUGGCCUGAGAAAGAGAAAGCUCCAUGACUUCAUUUACUGGUUGUUUUUUUUUCUGGAAUAUUCUGGCUCAGUUCAACAAGAGUUAAGGGGGGAAUGCAUCCUGAUUUCUCUGAUUUGGAGUCUCACGUUGCUUCCAGGAGGUCAAGGGAGACACUGAGCUUUCUGUAGGGCAUAGGGCGUGGUCUUUCACCUCCAUUCCUGAGACCAGCUAUAGGACCUUGCUGGAGACAUAGUCUAUUUAUUUCCUUUGUAUUUCUCACAGCUGGAAUACACAGGGCCAGUAAGGACUCAGCCUGGAUCCUACAGGCAGCUGCCCGAGGAAGGGCCUUGGUGAAACACACUUGGAAGCCGAAGGUGAGCAUGGAGGUACCAGAGCCCAGCCUGGUACCUCCAUGCUCCCAGGAGGGAAGGUAGAUUGGAAAUCUGAGUCAUAUGUCCUCACUGUUCACCCAAGGAUUUCAUGUCCCUUUGGCUGGCAUUGCUAGUUUCUCUUUGCAAAACGAUUGAUCCUGCUGCCAAAUGUGCCCUAAGCCUUCCUCAUGCAUCAGGGAGAUGAAUGAUAAGUAACUAGAGGGCACAAAAAAAAGGCCAGCCUGUGAAUGGGGAAGUCACUUUGAGCUCGGACUAGUGCCUUGGACAUUCUGUCAAUAGACUUAGCACUGGCCUGCUGACCCAAGCAGAACUGAAAGUAAGAAAUAAGGACUAUAAAAUUGAGGUUUGCUCACCAAGUCCCAAGCUUGGCACCAGAAAUUCUUGGCUUCCUCCAAACAGCUGCAUAGAAGCAGUGGACAAACCUAUCUUGUGUCUGAUGAGUCAUUUUGCGUCAGCGGUGUGUGGCAGGGGCAUCCUAUAAGGGCUUUUCUAGAUGCUUUAUCUGGCUCGUGCUGUUUCAAAAAAAAAAAAAAAAAUUGAUAGGGGCUGGGGGUGUAGCUCAGUGGUGGAACACAUGCUUAGCACACAAAAGGAAAAGACCAGGUAGCCAAAUUCCAAAAUUCCAAAAUGAAUGGGCACUUUGAGAUGCCGUGGAAGCAAACAUUUUUUAACGUCCCCAAACUCAUAUAUGUUCCUCAUCAUUCAUUUGCUGGUCUUAAUAAGAAAGGCUGAAUAAACUGACUUUCCUUAAAUCAGAAUGAUGAAGGCUGAGAGAAUUUGGCAGCAUGAUAUUUAGGAAAGUGCAUGACAGCACAAAGUUGUUCUCUUUCCUUAUUCUGAGGCCAGGGCUUUAUACCAUAUCAGGAUUAGGCAUCAAAACAGGUUUUGAGUUUCUGAAGAAGUUUAAUCAAAUAUGAGUAGAGAAUCUAUUCCUCUAAUAUUUUAAAUAUGUUUAUGUAUAUAUGCCUACAAAGUUUUAAAAGUACAUUUUGAGUGUGUGUGUGUGUGUGUGUGUGUGUGUGCGUACACGCGUGCACACUGGGGAUUGAACCCACACUACAUAUACAUUCCAACACUGAGAUAAACAGCCACUUUUAAUUUAUUUUUAUCUUAAAUAAACUUCAAAACUCUAAUUAUCACAUGUUAUUGUCACCUUCAUUUUAUAGAUGAGAAAACAGGUUCAUGAAAAUAAGGUGAUUUGCUCAAGCAGGAUGCCACAAAUGGUUGUUUGGUCCUUGGAUAUAGAACCAAUAUUCUGCCUCCAAAUACCAUCUAAGUUUUCUCCAAACCAACACAACAAAAUUCCUGAGAUGUCUUACAUAGAAUACUUGUCUAAAAUUUUUGAAGAAACUUUCAAAUAUAUUACUUAGAUAGUCAGGUUUUACAAUGCUCAGAAAUGGAAAAUUUGAUCUAGACCUGCAUGUCCCCAACAUGACCACAAGAUGGCACAGUAACCCCGAUAAUUGAGAAAUUGGCUUCAUUCUGUGCACCAGUAGAGGGCUGCAGUUCCUUUUUUCCAAAAGGGAGAAAUGGGGUGAUGUUGUUGUUGGUGGUGGGGGUAACAAAUCCACAACAAAACACAAAAUAACAACAACAAAAACCCUUCACUGUCUACAUCGAUUAAAUAGGAUGGUGGGAGGUUGUUUUUUUCUUUUUCAGUUUAAGCAAUGAGAGUUCAAACAAACAAGUCUCCAUUUUCACCUCUGUGUUUGCUUUUGGAGGCACGAGGUCAGGACUUGGGCCAGCCGCCUAGCCUACAUUAUUCAUCUGUCCAGCUCCAGUCCUGGAACAAACGUGAAGAAAUGAAGUAGCUUCAGUCAAGGGAAAACAGUGUUGUUAUUGUUGCCGGUGACAGUUCUAUUUGCCAACAAACAUAAAAACAUACUUUGGAACCCGAACGGGCUUGUCAGAGGGAACUUUUGUUCCAUGUUUGGGCUGGGACGCUUCCAGAGAGAAAUCAGACUGGCAUUUGAACUUCAGGAGGCAGGGAGAGCACUGUGCACAGCAGCCACUGACCCGAAAGGCCAGGCCAUCAGCUGUAGUUUUCAUCUGGGUGUUGUUUGACUGCAGUCCAUGAGGCUCCUGGUUGCCAACUGGGGUCACUGCCCUGAAUGGGUAUUAUGGGGGAGGAGUGUGGGGCAUGCAAUCCAGGAUGAUGGACUCGCCACAAAAAAGGGAUAAACAGGCUUUGGAUUCUGAGCUUUUGGAAGGUGGUCCUUACUUUGGGGCUUUGGGACAGUGAAAGCGGUCCUGAUUCUGCAGGAUUUAUUUGCUGUCAGGUCUCAAUUAUCCUAAGAUUGUUGGCUGGACCUUCAGGAUCCCUUGCUAUGUGGAUUAAUUACUCUAGGGAUAAAGCCAUCCUCGCUGUAUCUGCUGGUCAGAGUUCAGGGUAUAGAAACUCAUGUUAAUACCAGUCUAAGAAAGCAUAAUUCAGAAAGCCAAUCUGCCUAUUCCUGCUACCAUUACAUAAUUCAAGUUGGAGGUCCUGUCCACAGCUGUCUGGGGGCUGCCUCCUCCCUCUGCAGACGGGAGAAGUGCACUGGAUGGAUGGACUUACAGUAAUCUAUCUAUUUGGAAAGAGAGGUGGUGAUAAAUUACUACCAUGGUGAAUAUCAUUAAAAUGCAGUAGAACCAAAAGCACUUUGAAUCUUAAUUCCUGGCUCCUCACAUCAUCAUUCUGCAAGGGUAUGCAGGAUAUCACUGAACAUUUUAAUUUUACAUUGAGCUCUAAAGUUGGAAAGGCAUCUUAGAGAUUAUCGGGUCCAAAAUGUCUGUGUCUAAGAUGGCAAAUUCCCCCUAGGAGGAGUCGGAGAUGCUCAGUGAAUGGAUCAGCCCCUUGUUUUGUAAAUAAAGUUAACAGAUCUGGGAAAUGAAGUGAUUGCCCCAAUUAUAUACCUAAUUGGUGGCAGAUCAGGGACAAGACACAGCCAUCUAAAUCUCCCGAUUAGUGCUGCUUCUAUUCCAUUUUGCUGUCUUGAAUCUUAAAAACCCUCAGCUUAAUUUAUUUAUUUGCUUUAUUUGUUUAUUUACUUUUUGUAGUACUGAGGAUUGGGCCCAGAGCCUUGUGCAUGCUAGGCAGGCUCUCUAACAUUAAUCUAUGUCCCUGGCCCCAUUUAUCUUCUUUAAAAAAGCAAAUUUUAAUGCAGUUUGAUUCAAGACUACACAGUCGUAAGACAGAGGCAGUUCAAAAAGAGGCCUCUCGUUUUUCCAACCUUCGGAUUCAUUUGGGUCUCAAUUCCAACUACUGGGCCUUAUAAACCUUAACUGACCUUAGAGCUAAAAAUGUUCAUUUCUAGCAUCCAGCCUCAGAUUUGUGGGCAUUUAUGAGAGAGGCAUAGGAGAGAGCAAAGAUUGGCAGACUUUUUCUAGGGAAGGGCUAGAUAGUAUUUGGGGCUUUGAGAGUCAUAGAGUCUCUGUCAUGAGUACUCCGCUUCAAGGUUCUAACACAAAAACAGUCGUAGAGAACACAUAGACAAAGGAGCAUGGCUGUGCUUUUUCUAAGGAAAUAACUUUUCUUAGGAAAACAGGCAGGAAGGGGAAUGGAUUUGGCCCUCAGGCCAAAGUUUGCUGACUUCUGAAAUAAAGGACUUGGACUUUGACUUACUGUUCUUCCGCAUAUGCCUGGUCUAAGCAAAGGGAUCUUAUUCAUCUUUUAGACUGCACUGUACUGACAUUCCCAGUCAGUGGUAUCCACCCACCUUACUAAGUGGAAUUCUUAAAUCUUUUUUUUUUUUUUCAGUCAGAGACUUGACAAUCCUAAUAAGGAGAUUUAUUUGUGUGGUGCUCUUGUGUUUACAUAUUAUACAAUUUGAGCUUGUGAGAUAGUGUCGUAGUCAGCUUGGACUGCUAUAACAGAACACCACAGACGGGGUGGCUUAAAUGACAGAGCUUUCUUUCUCACCAUUCUCUGGAGUCUGGGAAGCCCAAGAUCGAGGUGUGGCAGAUCCAGGGACUGGAGAGAGCAUUCUUCCUGGUUUGUUCUUCUCAUUCUCUAUCACUGCUGAUGGGCUUCCUGUAUGUGCCAAGGAGUCCCAGACUACACCAUCCCAGUUUGGUAACCUCAGGGGAAAAGAGAGCCUGCUCCCACCUGUUGCCAAUCCAGAUCUCAUUUCUAGAUUUUAUGAACUCUGAGUUUAUGUUGGAUUGUCCAGCUGAACUUGGCUUGUGGCUAGCAGGAAGGAUCAUUCUGACUUGAGAAGGGUAAGAUGAGGACACACCUAAAUGAAAAUUGGCCUUACAUGAAAAGUUGAGAGUUCAAUUUGGAGACUGUUUCUUGGGUGCAUAUACUGCAGAGGUUUGACUGAAAAGCUGCUUCAAGUUCUUUUUAUAGCUUUGUUGUUCACACAUGAGAAAGUGAUUUCAUUGAUUGGCCUUUUUACACUUAACUAUUGUGUUGUGGUUGUUUUUCUGUUUCUCUCUUCAAUUCCACAUGUGAAUGGGUGAGUUCCACUCCCCACCAUCCGAGCGUGGGUGCUCUGGGGCUUCUCAGUUCAACUGUCCUCCCUCCUUCUCCCAUGAACAAAUGUGAGAAGCUGCUUAAAGAAUUAUCCAGCUCCUUUCUUGCCACUCGGUGAGAUACCCAGGAAUCUCCUUUGGUCUCAGUGCUGGUCUGUCAUGUUGCACAGUGAGAAUUCCAUGGUUUGGGGUAGUGGUAAAGGACAUAGGUUCUAGAACAAGAUUACCUGGACUGAAAACCUGCUCCCACCACUGAAUGCUGGUUUCUCUUUGCUUUUUUUCUUUGCUUUUUUCUCUUAGCCACUUGUGCUUUUUCCUUUAAUAUGACAAAAUACUUGAGAUAAUCAACUUAAAAGGAGAAAAGGCUUAUUUGGCUCACAAUUUCAGAGGCUUCAGUCCAUGGUCACUUGGCUCUGUUGAUUUCAGAAUUGUAGAAAGACAGCACAUCAUGGUGGGAACACAUGGCAGGAGAAGCUGGUCACCUCAUGGUGUCCAGGAAGCAAAAAGAGAGACUCAAGAAUUAGGAUUCUAACAUCCCUUUCAAGGGCAUGGCCCCAGUGACCUAGCUUCCUCCAGUAGCCUCACCUCCGAGACAUUCCACCACCUCCUAAUAAUGUCAAGCUGGGGACCAAGCCUUUAAUACAGAGCUUUCGAGGGACAUUAAAUAUUCAAGUGAUAGCACCAUUCUCUCAUAUUUACUCUUUUGAAAAGAUAUUUUCACUUGUCAUGGAAAAGAUUGUCCCUCCUCAUUAUGAAUGAAUCCCUUCCUUAUAUAAUAAGGAAAAAUAGCAACUACAAAUUGAGGGUGAAUGUUAAUAUUUAAGAUGACCAUUUGUAUCCCGCUAGUUGUUCCUAGCUACCUGGUUAACUUGGACUUGGCAGCAGGAACUCAACCUUCAUCUCCCUCUCUUUUUAUAGACAUGUUUUCUCUUGCCUGUGGAUUUUGUGUAUUGAGAAUAAAAAAAACCACUGUAUCCCCAUUUCAAGAUAGAAAAACGACUGCUUAUAUAGAGGAGCAUUUUGAUAAGAUCUGGAGGUCAUAACGAGAUACAAGCCAAACACAAUUUGAUUUUGAAAAGCUCUUACUUAAAAAGUAGCCCAUCACUUAUAAAUCCUACUGCAGGAGUUUAUGUCAUACUGUGCAGUCAUCCAUAAAUUUAAAAUAAUACCACCAACUACAAGCAAGUCAUGGGCUUUGAAUUACUUGUGAAAUAGUGUUUGUAGAUGCCAGCACUGACUUUAAAAUAGGUGAAUUUUGAGCCUUAAACCCUAGCCUAUUAACAUUUUUCAGAACUCUACUGAGAAGAAAGCUCAUGGUGUACUGGGCAGAAAGUUCCCCAAAGAGGAGAAAGACAAGCAAUGCCAGUGCACAAUUCUGGAUAAUUCUUUAAGCAGCUCCAUGGAGUAUGAAUUUUUUUUUUUAAUUUGUGGCUUAGCAGAGAAAAG